GACGAACGCUGGCGGCGUGCUUAACACAUGCAAGUCGAACGGGAACCUUUAUUUCGGUAAAGGUGAGAGUGGCAAACGGGUGAGUAACACGUAGGCAACCUGCCGACAGGAUGGGGACAACAUUCCGAAAGGAAUGCUAAUACCGAAUGAAGUCACCGGAGGGCAUCCUCUGGUGAUGAAAGAUGGCCUCUGAAUAUGCUAUCACCUGUCGAUGGGCCUGCGUCUGAUUAGCCAGUUGGCGGGGUAACGGCCCACCAAAGCGACGAUCAGUAGCCGGUCUGAGAGGAUGAACGGCCACAUUGGGACUGAGACACGGCCCAGACUCCUACGGGAGGCAGCAGUGGGGAAUCUUCCACAAUGGGCGAAAGCCUGAUGGAGCAACGCCGCGUGAGUGAAGAAGGUCUUCGGAUCGUAAAGCUCUGUUGCACGGGACGAAAACCGAGCUUGAGAAUAUUGAGUUUGGGGACGGUACCGAGC
RNAcentral lists this ribosomal RNA (477 nucleotides) under Selenomonas sputigena. RNAcentral's name for it is "bacterial SSU rRNA". It matches the Rfam family "Bacterial small subunit ribosomal RNA", at positions 28 to 483 of the family's 1533-position model. The record is from RNAcentral. Lineage: Bacteria; Bacillati; Bacillota; Negativicutes; Selenomonadales; Selenomonadaceae.